Molecule: ribosomal RNA, 492 nt
Filed under: uncultured bacterium
Lineage: Bacteria
Description: partial 16S ribosomal RNA
Rfam family: Bacterial small subunit ribosomal RNA
Source: RNAcentral
AGUGAACGCUGGCGGUAGGCCUAACACAUGCAAGUCGAACGACAGCACAGUAAGAGCUUGCUCUUACGGGUGGCGAGUGGCGGACGGGUGAGGAAUACAUCGGAAUCUACUUUUUCGUGGGGGAUAACGUAGGGAAACUUACGCUAAUACCGCAUACGACCUACGGGUGAAAGCAGGGGAUCUUCGGACCUUGCGCGAUUGAAUGAGCCGAUGUCGGAUUAGCUAGUUGGCGGGGUAAAGGCCCACCAAGGCGACGAUCCGUAGCUGGUCUGAGAGGAUGAUCAGCCACACUGGAACUGAGACACGGUCCAGACUCCUACGGGAGGCAGCAGUGGGGAAUAUUGGGCAAUGGGCGCAAGCCUGAUCCAGCCAUACCGCGUGGGUGAAGAAGGCCUUCGGGUUGUAAAGCCCUUUUGUUGGGAAAGAAAAGCAGCAGGUUAAUACCCCGCUGUUCUGACGGUACCCAAAGAAUAAGCACCGGCUAACUUCGUG